UAGUUGAUUUUCAUUUGUCAG
This is a non-coding RNA of Caenorhabditis elegans, 21 nucleotides long. The record is from Ensembl. NCBI's taxonomy places the organism in Eukaryota, Metazoa, Nematoda, Chromadorea, Rhabditida, Rhabditidae.